Molecule: ribosomal RNA, 253 nt
Filed under: uncultured bacterium
Lineage: Bacteria
Description: partial 16S ribosomal RNA
Rfam family: Bacterial small subunit ribosomal RNA
Source: RNAcentral
UACGAGGGGGGCAAGCGUUGUUCGGAAUUAUUGGGCGUAAAGGGCGCGUAGGCGGUGCGGUAAGUCACCUGUGAAAACUCUGGGCUCAACUCAGAGACUGCUUCCGAAACUGCUGUGCUGGAGUGUGGGAGAGGCGCGUGGAAUUGCAGGUGUAGCGGUGAAAUGCGUAGAUAUCUGCAGGAACACCCGUGGCGAAAGCGGCGCGCUGGACCACUACUGACGCUGAGGAACGAAAGCUAGGGGAGCAAACAGG